UGAGGAAUAUUGGUCAAUGGGCGAGAGCCUGAACCAGCCAUGCCGCGUGCAGGAUGAAGGCCUUCUGGGUUGUAAACUGCUUUUAUCAGGGAAGAAAAGCUCGAUUUCUAUUGAGACUGACGGUACCUGAGGAAUCAGCACCGGCUAACUCCGUGCCAGCAGCCGCGGUAAUACGGAGGGUGCAAGCGUUAUCCGGAUUCACUGGGUUUAAAGGGUGCGCAGGCGGGCUAUUAAGUCCGUGGUGAAAUCCCGGGGCUCAACCCCGGAACUGCCAUGGAUACUAUUAGUCUUGAAUGUUGUUGAGGUGGGCGGAAUAGGUCAUGUAGCGGUGAAAUGCAUAGAUAUGACCUAGAACACUGAUUGCGAAGGCAGCUCACUGGACAAAUAUUGACGCUCAGGCACGAAAGCGUGGGGAUCAAACAG
This 423-nucleotide ribosomal RNA is filed under the name uncultured bacterium. RNAcentral's name for it is "bacterial SSU rRNA". It matches the Rfam family "Bacterial small subunit ribosomal RNA", at positions 355 to 775 of the family's 1533-position model. The record is from RNAcentral.